CACUCUAUUUCCAGUGGUAGGUACAUGGUUGCCGAGGGAGGACCGCGGCAAGGGCAUUGCGCCCGACCAGUAAGACCGUGGUAGUAUAGUAGCUUUCCUUUUUGCAUUAGUUCACCUAUGUAUUGAGAGAGAUUCAUUGUGGGUGAGGGUUUGGGUGAGCUAUGUAUUUUGAAAUGGAAAAUGUAUUCAUUUAAAGAAAAUGAUGUAAAUGAAAAUGAUGGAACUAUUGUAAUAGUUAGUAAAGUACUCUCUUUAUUUCACAUGUGUAUCUUGUGGAUUUGCUUGCUCUUUGUAUUGUUGGCACUGGUUGUGCCCUUGUGGAUGUGUAUGUUUAGAAUUUAAUUUUCCUAGGUAAAUUCUUGUACACAUUCCUAUUGUUGAGCCUUGGGCGGAUAGGGGAGGUGCUGUCCGUUCGGCGGCCCGCCGCCGCGGCCGAACCGUGCCAAAUUGGUAGUAGUUUCGGGGCGGGGCGUGACACUGUGAUUCGUGGAUAGUCCACCUACGGAUGUAGCAAGAGAUCCCCAAGGCAACCUACAUUUUGGGGGGCCACCCUCGAGAGUGGUGUCAUGGUAGUAGAUAAGUGCAGGCUUGAUCGGACCCUCGAGUCGGUCUUUGGGAUUGGGUUUGGAUAAUGAGCACCUAUUAGCUAGUUGAUGUAUACUUAUAAAUCUAGCUGAUUUAUUCUGAUCAUUAGUGGUAUAUAGGCAUUGUAGCUGUAGAUUUUCUUUCCAAUUUUUAGUAUUUCAUGCUCUACUAUUAGUUAUAGUUCAUUACUUUUUGCCUCUAGUAGGCCUAGUGUGUAGGUCGUCAUCAUUGUUGACAAUAUCAACUGACUAGUUUUAGUAGUUCUCAUGCCCUCUAUUGUUUUCUUCCAAAGCCCUCCACCCCUG
Molecule: long non-coding RNA, 890 nt
Filed under: Ananas comosus (pineapple)
Lineage: Eukaryota; Viridiplantae; Streptophyta; Magnoliopsida; Poales; Bromeliaceae
Description: long non-coding RNA (ACOM_LNC021314)
Source: RNAcentral